ACGACCGACGGUGAGGGGGAUGGGUUUCCCGGUGGUUUCUGUCGGAAGUAGGAUGGUGGUAUGGUGUUGUUGGGGUGGCUAGGGGAUAAGAAUGGAAUGGGAAUACCUAGGGGGAUAGGGAAUGAAGUUGGAAGGAUUUAGGAGAAUGGAGAGAGUAAAGGGAACGGGAAAAAAAGCUUAACAAACAGCAACAAAGGGAAUGGAGGCAGUUGAUUUUCAUUCCCUUUGAUGAUUACCCUUAACCAAACGACCCUAAGUCUCUUUUGAGGGUUGUUUCAAGAAAAAAAAAAAAAAAAAAAAAAAAAAAAAAAAAACUCCACCUAAAAAAACCAAAGCAAAAGAAAACCCUAGUUUUUUUUCAUUAACAAAACUCUUUUCACUGUAUUCAGUACUGUAUGAAAACCGAAGGAGCAAAGAAGCUCCGAAUCAAUUGCAAUGGCGGUUGGCGAAUACUCUUAUGAAACCCUAAGCCCUUUCCUACCUCCCUCCGCCGCCGUCGAAACCACCAUUUCCGGCGGCGAAGACGCCGGCGACUACGUAGUGUUCCGCAAUGAAAUCUCUCUUACGUCAUUGGAGCCCGCCUCCACUGACGCCGCCGCGACCGAUUACUUCUCCCUUGACGUCGAUGAUGCUUCGGAUGAAGUAAUUGAUCCAACUCCUAUGCCUAAGGUGGUUGCUGCGGAGGAGAGAGAAAAUGAUGCUGAUCGGACGCCGGAGUGGACGCUCGAGAGUGGUUGGUUUCGGGCCGAUUGUCGGUUCAAGUGCCCUAUGCUUCAGCUUCAUAAAGAGAUCCUGGACUUCUGUGAUUUUCUCUCCCCAACUCCUGUAGAAGCUGCAGCACGCAAUGCAGCCAUUGAACGUGUAUCUGAUGUUAUCAAAUAUAUAUGGCCCUAUUGCAGGGUAGAGGUUUUCGGGUCAUAUAGAACAGGGCUCUAUCUGCCAUCAAGUGACAUUGAUGUUGUGAUUCUCGAAUCAAAUAUCAAAACUCCACAACUUGGCUUACAAGCUCUGUCUAGGGCAUUGUCACAAAAGGGUAUUGCGAAAAAGAUGCAGGUGAUUGGUAAAGCUAGGGUGCCGAUUAUUAAAUUUCUGGAGAAGGUGACUGAUGUUGCAUUUGACAUUAGUUUUGAUGUUGACAAUGGUCCCAAAGCUGCUGAGUAUAUCCAGGAUGCAAUAUCAAGGUUGCCUCCCUUGCGGCCUCUCUGUUUGAUUCUUAAGGUUUUCCUGCAGCAGAGAGAGUUGAACGAGGUUUACUCUGGAGGAGUUGGCUCUUAUGCACUGCUUGCCAUGCUGAUUGCUAUGCUGCGAAGUGUGAAUGACUGCCAAAGGUCUCCAGAGCAGAACUUGGGAAUAUUAUUGGUUAAAUUUUUUGAGUUCUAUGCUCAUAGAUUAAACACUUGGGAUGUUGGUGUGUCCUGCAAUGGAACAGGAACCUUUUAUUUAAAGAGUCGCAAAGGGUUUCAAACUAAGGGGCGCCCAUUUCUUAUAUCAAUAGAAGAUCCGCAGACACCUGGAAAUGACAUAGGGAAGAACUCUUUUAACUACUUUCAGAUAAGAUCAGCAUUCAUGAUGGCUUAUGCGACGCUUACAAAUACCAAAACCAUCAUGAAUUUGGGUCCCAAUAAAAGUAUACUUGGAACAAUUAUUAGACCAGACCCAGUUUUGUUGGAACGAAAGGGAGGAAUUAAAGGCGAGUUGACUUUCAACAAUUUACUAACAGGCGCUGGUGAAGCAUUGGAUUCACAGUAUGAUGAGAAGCAGGAUAUCUUGUGUAAUUGGCAAUUUGACAAUGAUUAUGAGGAAGAACCACUGCCUCGUGGUGGCAAUGCCGAAUGUAGUAGUCCCUCUUCCUCUGGUAAGAAGAGGAAGGCUUCGAAAUCAAAAUCGUUUGGGAAGGUCAAAGAGAAUGGAAGCAUCGGUAAGAAUGGUUAUGAAGAAAAUGGAUCCAGAAAAGAGAGGAAGAGAGAAAAGAAACGAUCCAAAUUCUUGUGAUGUUGAGAACCCUAUAUCCAUGGAAGCAUAUUUUAUCCUGAGAAGCCUUGGAGGUUGGAUGGAUAUGUUUGAGGUAUAUGAUGCCGCUACUAAGAUAUCACAGGCUCAUCUUCCUCUGUUCCUCUCUGGACAGUUACUGCAGCUGAUUAUGUUAACAGAUUUCCUGGAGUAUCCAGUAUUGAUGGGCAGAAAUCGUUCAUAAGAAUAUGGGAAUAUGCCAUAUAUAUGGAAGGGCUUGGAGUAUUUUUCUGCGAAAUGGUAAUGGAAGUUCAAAUUAGUUUUGCAAGAUGCAUGCACCUCAAUACAAAGUGCCAUUCAGAUGGAAGAUGGUUUUUAACUUUAGAAAGUCUUAGGGAGCAAUUAGCAUUUACUUUCCCCUUUAAUCAUUUGAUAGAUUCCCAAGCUCAAAAUAGUACAAUUUUUUGGUUCUCUUUUGUAGUGAAUUUGCUACUCUUUGGUUCAAAUUUAGACAUUUUUUAGUCCA
This is an RNA transcript of Chenopodium quinoa (quinoa), 2476 nucleotides long. It is a transcript of the gene named non-canonical poly(A) RNA polymerase PAPD5-like, with no coding region annotated. Lineage: Eukaryota; Viridiplantae; Streptophyta; Magnoliopsida; Caryophyllales; Amaranthaceae. The transcript has 14 exons. The record is from RefSeq and is a predicted model, not a curated record.